This 246-nucleotide ribosomal RNA is filed under the name uncultured bacterium. RNAcentral's name for it is "partial 16S ribosomal RNA". It matches the Rfam family "Bacterial small subunit ribosomal RNA", at positions 109 to 354 of the family's 1533-position model. The record is from RNAcentral.
AGUAACACGUAAGCAACCUGCCUAUCAGAGGGGAACAACAGUUAGAAAUGACUGCUAAUACCGCAUAUGCCUUAGUAUCGCAUGGUACAAAAGGGAAAGGAGCAAUCCGCUGAUAGAUGGGCUUGCGUCUGAUUAGCUAGUUGGUGGGGUAAAGGCCUACCAAGGCGACGAUCAGUAGCCGGACUGAGAGGUUGAACGGCCACAUUGGGACUGAGACACGGCCCAAACUCCUACGGGAGGCAGCAG